AAUGCCUAGGAAUCUGCCUGGUAGUGGGGGAUAACGUUCGGAAACGGACGCUAAUACCGCAUACGUCCUACGGGAGAAAGCAGGGGACCUUCGGGCCUUGCGCUAUCAGAUGAGCCUAGGUCGGAUUAGCUAGUUGGUGAGGUAAUGGCUCACCAAGGCGACGAUCCGUAACUGGUCUGAGAGGAUGAUCAGUCACACUGGAACUGAGACACGGUCCAGACUCCUACGGGAGGCAGCAGUGGGGAAUAUUGGACAAUGGGCGAAAGCCUGAUCCAGCCAUGCCGCGUGUGUGAAGAAGGUCUUCGGAUUGUAAAGCACUUUAAGUUGGGAGGAAGGGUUGUAGAUUAAUACUCUGCAAUUUUGACGUUACCGACAGAAUAAGCACCGGCUAACUCUGUGCCAGCAGCCGCGGUAAUACAGAGGGUGCAAGCGUUAAUCGGAAUUACUGGGCGUAAAGCGCGCGUAGGUGGUUUGUUAAGUAGGAUGUGAAAUCCCCGGGCUCAACCUGGGAACUGCAUUCAAAACUGACUGACUAGAGUAUGGUAGAGGGUGGUGGAAUUUCCUGUGUAGCGGUGAAAUGCGUAGAUAUAGGAAGG
This 596-nucleotide ribosomal RNA is filed under the name uncultured bacterium. RNAcentral describes it as "bacterial SSU rRNA". It matches the Rfam family "Bacterial small subunit ribosomal RNA", at positions 112 to 704 of the family's 1533-position model. The record is from RNAcentral.